GGAUGCGGCUGCAAAUUCUAAGCACAGGGAAGGUGAGUGGGAAGAGUCUGGAAGACGCAGCCCCCUCAGCCGCCUUCCAACCGGCAAACGUGGGUGAAUUAAUAUCCUGGAAGCACACUCACGAGGCAGGUUCCCCGGGCCCCCCCGUGGACCCUACUGAAUCAAAAUCUCCCCCGAAGCGGCCCAAGAUUCUGCAUUUUCACAAAGGCACUCCGGGACCAACCGGGCUUUCCGACCUCCAGACCUCGGCUCACGUGGUCUCUCCACCUGGCCUGCCCCCACCCAGAGGCCGGCUGGACCUCUUUCACAAUCCUCCAGCCAAAAUUAAACAAGAUAAUAGACCGUGUUUUGCCCUGUGCCUGGCACAUAGCAGGUGCGCUAUCCCGGGGAUCCUGCACUGCCCUGAGCAGAAGAGGCUCCAGCCUCUUCCCCUCCCGCCUCCCAGGCUGCGGGAGCACCUGACCUUCAAGCCUGUAGUGCCAGCCCCCUCGGGGGAGGGUCACAGACACCCAAGAAACGCCUGGCACACAAGCCCUACUGUGUGCAGGCCCCACACUGGGCCCUUGGCUGAUGCCCCACGCGUCCCCUCUCUCGUCCAGGAUGGAAACUCAUCUCUGUAG
RNAcentral lists this long non-coding RNA (620 nucleotides) under Felis catus (domestic cat). RNAcentral describes it as "lncRNA (ENSFCAG00000051122.1)". Lineage: Eukaryota; Metazoa; Chordata; Mammalia; Carnivora; Felidae. The record is from RNAcentral.